AAGUCGUAACAAGGUUUCCGUAGGUAAACCUGCGGAAGGAUCAUUAACACGUAUCCAACGUUAAACCCCCCUGUGAACUUUUACACUCGCUCCCGUGGCCUGCUAAAAUUGCAAUCCCUGGUAAAUCAUUGUUGAACAGUUGGGUAGGUUUCGAUCGAGCGAUCGUUGCAAGUGACCUGGUUUCCCGAAGCAUCAUGUCUGAAAGUGUCAUUGUUGUGGAAGGAUAACGCUUUUCGAUCACUGCCCGAACACCGGCCAGUGGACGGGUCGCAGCGGCUUCGGCCUGGGCAACAAAACGAACAACUGUUAACAAUGGAUAUCUUGGUUCUC
Molecule: unclassified non-coding RNA, 330 nt
Filed under: fungal sp.
Lineage: Eukaryota; Fungi
Description: partial internal transcribed spacer region
Rfam family: Eukaryotic small subunit ribosomal RNA (bases 1-46)
Source: RNAcentral